Molecule: transfer RNA, 73 nt
Filed under: Rhizobium leguminosarum bv. viciae
Lineage: Bacteria; Pseudomonadati; Pseudomonadota; Alphaproteobacteria; Hyphomicrobiales; Rhizobiaceae
Also listed under: 1 other name
Description: tRNA-Lys
Source: RNAcentral
GGGCAAUGAGAAUUACUAGACCCUCUGACUCUUAAUCAGCGGGUCGUAGGUUCGAGCCCUACAUCACCCACCA